AAAUUGAAGAGUUUGAUCAUGGCUCAGAUUGAACGCUGGCGGCAGGCCUAACACAUGCAAGUCGAACGGUAACAGGAAGAAGCUUGCUUCUUUGCUGACGAGUGGCGGACGGGUGAGUAAUGUCUGGGAAACUGCCUGAUGGAGGGGGAUAACUACUGGAAACGGUAGCUAAUACCGCAUAACGUCGCAAGACCAAAGAGGGGGACCUUCGGGCCUCUUGCCAUCGGAUGUGCCCAGAUGGGAUUAGCUUGUUGGUGGGGUAACGGCUCACCAAGGCGACGAUCCCUAGCUGGUCUGAGAGGAUGACCAGCCACACUGGAACUGAGACACGGUCCAGACUCCUACGGGAGGCAGCAGUGGGGAAUAUUGCACAAUGGGCGCAAGCCUGAUGCAGCCAUGCCGCGUGUAUGAAGAAGGCCUUCGGGUUGUAAAGUACUUUCAGCGGGGAGGAAGGGAGUAAAGUUAAUACCUUUGCUCAUUGACGUUACCCGCAGAAGAAGCACCGGCUAACUCCGUGCCAGCAGCCGCGGUAAUACGGAGGGUGCAAGCGUUAAUCGGAAUUACUGGGCGUAAAGCGCACGCAGGCGGUUUGUUAAGUCAGAUGUGAAAUCCCCGGGCUCAACCUGGGAACUGCAUCUGAUACUGGCAAGCUUGAGUCUCGUAGAGGGGGGUAGAAUUCCAGGUGUAGCGGUGAAAUGCGUAGAGAUCUGGAGGAAUACCGGUGGCGAAGGCGGCCCCCUGGACGAAGACUGACGCUCAGGUGCGAAAGCGUGGGGAGCAAACAGGAUUAGAUACCCUGGUAGUCCACGCCGUAAACGAUGUCGACUUGGAGGUUGUGCCCUUGAGGCGUGGCUUCCGGAGCUAACGCGUUAAGUCGACCGCCUGGGGAGUACGGCCGCAAGGUUAAAACUCAAAUGAAUUGACGGGGGCCCGCACAAGCGGUGGAGCAUGUGGUUUAAUUCGAUGCAACGCGAAGAACCUUACCUGGUCUUGACAUCCACGGAAGUUUUCAGAGAUGGAAUGGUGCCUUCGGGAACCGUGAGACAGGUGCUGCAUGGCUGUCGUCAGCUCGUGUUGUGAAAUGUUGGGUUAAGUCCCGCAACGAGCGCAACCCUUAUCCUUUGUUGCCAGCGGUCCGGCCGGGAACUCAAAGGAGACUGCCAGUGAUAAACUGGAGGAAGGUGGGGAUGACGUCAAGUCAUCAUGGCCCUUACGACCAGGGCUACACACGUGCUACAAUGGCGCAUACAAAGAGAAGCGACCUCGCGAGAGCAAGCGGACCUCAUAAAGUGCGUCGUAGUCCGGAUUGGAGUCUGCAACUCGACUCCAUGAAGUCGGAAUCGCUAGUAAUCGUGGAUCAGAAUGCCACGGUGAAUACGUUCCCGGGCCUUGUACACACCGCCCGUCACACCAUGGGAGUGGGUUGCAAAAGAAGUAGGUAGCUUAACCUUCGGGAGGGCGCUUACCACUUUGUGAUUCAUGACUGGGGUGAAGUCGUAACAAGGUAACCGUAGGGGAACCUGCGGUUGGAUCACCUCCUUA
This 1542-nucleotide ribosomal RNA is filed under the name Escherichia coli. RNAcentral describes it as "bacterial SSU rRNA". It matches the Rfam family "Bacterial small subunit ribosomal RNA". Lineage: Bacteria; Pseudomonadati; Pseudomonadota; Gammaproteobacteria; Enterobacterales; Enterobacteriaceae. The record is from RNAcentral.